RNAcentral lists this ribosomal RNA (323 nucleotides) under Teuthophrys trisulca africana. Its description in RNAcentral is "SSU rRNA". It matches the Rfam family "Eukaryotic small subunit ribosomal RNA", at positions 414 to 810 of the family's 1831-position model. The record is from RNAcentral. Lineage: Eukaryota; Ciliophora; Litostomatea; Haptorida; Spathidiidae.
AUCUAAGGAAGGCAGCAGGCGCGUAAAUUACCCAAUCCUGACUCAGGGAGGUAGUGACAAGAUAUAACAACGCGACUAAAAAUCGCGAUUGUAGUGAGGGUAUUCCAAACCGAACUUCGAGUACGAUUGGAGGGCAAGUCUGGUGCCAGCAGCCGCGGUAAUUCCAGCUCCAAUAGCGUAUAUUAAAGUUGUUGCAGUUAAAAAGCUCGUAGUUGGAUUUCAAGGAGCGUCCUGGGCAACCAGCGACCUUCUAUCAGUCUUUGACUGUUACUGUGAGAAAAUUAGAGUGUUUCAAGCAGGCUGUUGCCAGAAUACAUUAGCAU